UACGGAGGGUGCAAACGUUGCUCGGAAUCAUUGGGCGUAAAGCGCACGUAGGCGGCCUGUUAAGUCGGAUGUGAAAGCCCAAGGCUCAACCUUGGAAGUGCAUUCGAAACUGGCGAGCUUGAAUAUGGACGAGGGUCGCGGAAUUCCCGGUGUAGAGGUGAAAUUCGUAGAUAUCGGGAGGAACACCAGUGGCGAAGGCGGCGACCUGGGCCAAUAUUGACGCUAAGGUGCGAAAGCGUGGGGAGCAAACAGG
Molecule: ribosomal RNA, 253 nt
Filed under: uncultured bacterium
Lineage: Bacteria
Description: partial 16S ribosomal RNA
Rfam family: Bacterial small subunit ribosomal RNA
Source: RNAcentral